This is a long non-coding RNA of Panicum virgatum (switchgrass), 277 nucleotides long. RefSeq lists it as uncharacterized. The record is from RefSeq and is a predicted model, not a curated record. The transcript is spliced from 2 exons. Lineage: Eukaryota; Viridiplantae; Streptophyta; Magnoliopsida; Poales; Poaceae.
UGACAUGGCAACUCUCCGUGAUUGGAUUACUACUGGACUUGGAGUCAUGGGGUUCGGGCUCAGAUGAUCUGCAGUGGAACCUGGAAUGAAGGAGAAGCAUAGGACAAUGUUUAUUUUGGUCCCUACGAUUUCAUGAAGUUGGAUGUGCCUGUAUGUUAGCUUAUUUUGGUACGGAGGGGUUCAUGAAGUUUGGAUUUGUGACUGUAGUGCAUAAUGCACAACCACUUGGUAAUUUGGUAUUUGGCUGACCUUCAUUCGGUUGUAUGAAUACAUGAUG